RNAcentral lists this long non-coding RNA (2860 nucleotides) under Homo sapiens (human). RNAcentral describes it as "non-protein coding lnc-SCN8A-1:1". Lineage: Eukaryota; Metazoa; Chordata; Mammalia; Primates; Hominidae. The record is from RNAcentral.
AGGUCUUGAGAUGGGCAACAGAGCUGUAAGAUCCCGCCAAGUACACCAUGUGCUCAUGCUAGUGAUGUCAUUAAGCUACUAGGGCAUAGUGAUGAGAUUUUUCUGAGAUCUAACCGUUUCCCUCCGCUAGCUCCUGACCCCAGCCCAGCAGGCUGUCUCCUCAGUAACACAUGGGCCUUGGUAUCUGGCACCCAUCAGCCAGCCUCAUAGGAAAGAAGCCACCUCCGCUGUAUUUGAAGUUUCACUUUUUAAAAAAAAAAUGUUUCCCACCUUUUUAUCCUUCACCCACUGUCCUUCCACCUGCUCACUCACUCACUCUCUCACCCAUCCUGCUCCACACUUCUUUGGUAGUAAAUGACACCAUCACCAGCAGUUUACACCCGCAGUUAACAGGCAUCGAACUGAAAGAAUCAGUGAUGACGUUUUUGUGCAUCUUCGCUGAGUGGGUAAGUGGCAAUGCUUUGCCAAAUAUUAACGAAGCCAAUCAAAGAGCAGCGCAGCCACAGUAUCACUGCACAUAUAUAUAUAGAUAUAUAAAUAUAAUAUAAAUAUUUAUUUUUUGUAGCCAGGUCCUUGGUGCAGUAUUUAUACUCCACAAUCCACCUUUUAAAAAAAGGACAAAAAGCAAAAAGAUGUGUGAUGCUGUUAAUAAUUUAAAAUGCAGAGCCAAAGCCACUGAGCAGCAGCUGACAUGGUUGCUGGUUUGUGUGUGAAAAACAUUUUCCCCCUCUUCUUUCCUUAACCUCCUUGUUGCUUAGGAUGAGGAGACUCUGUAAUUUAAAGCAGAGGACGAGAGGAGGAAGAAACUUCCAUGUUAACAUGGCCUACUCUCACUCCUUUCUAAACGAGCCACUUUUGGCGUCAGAAGUUGACUGGAGAGAGAUAAACAAACUCCCAGUCAAAGCCCCUAAAGCGACAGUGCCCAGAGUUCUUUUAUUUUUUGCUGCAACCAACGUAAACCUGUAAAAGACCAACAGUGAAGAUUAGUGUAUUAGUGAAUGCAUGGAGGCCAAUGCUGCCCUAAUGAGACGUGAUAAAAAGUCCAUCACUCCUCUAAGCCAAAAGGAAACAAAAUAAAAAUGACCCUUUUUACUGUACAAGGGAAGCCUGUCUUGGUGUGUUUGUUGCUUGACUAUCCCAAUUCUUGAGUCCUGGGAGGGGUCUGGGAAUUGGGACCUUAGCACAUUUGGGGAAAGGAGGGGAAUAGAGGGAAGAGAAAUCAAAGGGGCUCUCGCAAAGUUCUGGCUAAGAAGGAGAGAUUGGAAGAAAAGCAAGGUCCUGACCCCCCCCAGAUCCCCACUCACCCAUUGCAUGUGGCAUUCCCCACUACUGGCCGGUGCUUAGAGGCCCAUAAAACCUCUCUUCACCUAAUCCACCUGGCAGAGCCCUCAGAGAUGACGUCAGCCAACCCAGCUGGACUGGCCUUACUUCUGCCUUUUUCACCUGUAUGUUAAAAAACAAAAACAAAAAAACCCUAUCCCUGUGCCCCAAAGCUAGGGCAUGUGCGAUGCCCAACAGCCUCCACUCUGCAAGCUCAUACUGGGCCCUGCCCUCCAUCGCCCCAGACAGGCCCACAGACGAGGGCUGGUCUCCUUCACAUUUGUGUGGGGGUGGGGGCACGCUUCCUCUUCCUUCUCUCCCUGUCCCCCUUUGGGGACAUCCCUCUCUAGGCCUAGGCCAUGUCUCCUGGUUCAGGAACACUCUCUCAGGAGGAUCUCGAAGUGCCCACUCUAGUCCGCUCCAGUAGCUCCACUCUGGAGCGAGAUGGCUGGUAGGUCAGUCCCCAUCCUCCUCCCCUCGGCCCCCAGCCUCCAGGCCUGCUGUGGAGGUGAGAUCGCCAUGGGUCAUGACUUUGUGACUUGAGUCCUGGGCAUCUUCUGUAAUGAUGCCUCUUUCUUUUCUCAGAUGUUGCCCACAGUUUAGCAAAAAGCUUCGUUCAUUUUCAGGUACUCCCCACCCCCUAAAGAAUUGGCUGCAACUUGCCAGCCAGGGGGACAUCAGGAGAGAAGAGGAAGUCUGGGUUGGGAGGGGCCCAAGUUUUGCAACAGAGUUUCCAUUGUUCAGCUCUGUGCUUUCUUGGAUUCCCUUUCCAAGAUUACCAAGAUUUCCUCCAUUAAAACUCCUGAGGCACCCCCUGCCCCUGCCCCCCACUGCUGUUUGCUGUACAUAGAGGCUAAGUGGGGUGGGGUGGGUGGGUGUGCACAUGUGGUGUGUGUGUGUGUGUGUGAAGAAUGUAUAUAGGUAAAGGGGAGUGUGGUCCAGUGGUUCCAGAAAAGGGACAGAACUGUGUUCUGUCCCUAGCUUGACCGCUGGCUCGCUGUGUGGCCUUGGGCAAGUCACUUAACCUCUCUGUGCCUCAGUUUCCCCAUCUGUAAAAUGGGGAUAAUAAUACUGACCUACCUCACAGGGGUGUUGUGAGGCUUUAACUAAAUGUUUUGUAAAGCGUUUUGAGAUACAGAGGCAAAGGCGCUAGGGAAGGGCAAAGUAUUAUUGGACUUAAGGAAGCUGAAAUGGUACCAUAAAUGCUGCUAUUCUGAGAGCCAUUUUAAACUGCACUGCUCCAACCACCCCCGCUUCUCAUCACCAGGACAGCAGGUCGAGAAAAUGUCUUUCCUUUCACUUGCUUCUGGGGUUUGUGAUUAUUCAAGACAAUUUUUUCCCCUUGCUGUAUCUCCUUCCCUCACCUCCUCGACUUGUUCCCUGUUCUGUUUAUGCGGAAAUGGCAGAAAUGCUUGAGAAAUGAGAAUGUGUAAGUGGAUUGGAAGUUUAUAGUAUGAAAUUUCAAUUUUACUUUGUACUGUACAUCUUUUUACUUUAGAAUUUGCAAUAAAGGGUUACGUCAAUCUUGUUUUCAACUCUC